CGGCUGCCUAACACAUGCAAGUCGAGCGAGGAACUUCGGUUCCUAGCGGCGGACGGGUGAGUAACACGUGGGUAACCUGCCUCAUAGAGGGGAAUAGCCUCCCGAAAGGGAGAUUAAUACCGCAUAACACUGCGGUUUCGCAUGAAACUGCAGUUAAAGGAGCAAUCCGCUAUGAGAUGGACCCGCGGGCGCAUUAGCUAGUUGGUGAGGUAAAGGCUCACCAAGGCCACGAUGCUUAGCCGACCUGAGAGGGUGAUCGGCCACAUUGGAACUGAGACACGGUCCAGACUCCUACGGGAGGCAGCAGUGGGGAAUAUUGCACAAUGGGCGAAAGCCUGAUGCAGCAACGCCGCGUGGAGGAUGAAUGCCUUCGGGUUGUAACUCUUGUCUUCUGGGACGAUAAUGACGGUACCAGAGGAGGAAGCCACGGCUACUACGUGCCAGCAGCGCGGUAUACGUAGGUGGCGAGCGUUGUCCGGAUUUACCUGGGCGUAAGGAUGCGUAGCGGAUAUUAAUGGGAUGUGAAAUACCUGGCCUAUUCUGGUGCUGCAUCGAAACUGGUAUCUAGAGUGCGGAAGAAGUGAUUCUA
This 589-nucleotide ribosomal RNA is filed under the name uncultured prokaryote. RNAcentral describes it as "bacterial SSU rRNA". It matches the Rfam family "Bacterial small subunit ribosomal RNA", at positions 40 to 665 of the family's 1533-position model. The record is from RNAcentral.